Molecule: ribosomal RNA, 505 nt
Filed under: uncultured bacterium
Lineage: Bacteria
Description: partial 16S ribosomal RNA
Rfam family: Bacterial small subunit ribosomal RNA
Source: RNAcentral
GACGAACGCUGGCGGCGUGCCUAAUACAUGCAAGUAGAACGCACAGUUUAUACCGUAGCUUGCUCCACCAUAGACUGUGAGUUGCGAACGGGUGAGUAACGCGUAGGUAACCUGCCUGGUAGCGGGGGGUAACUAUUGGAAACGAUAGCUAAUACCGCAUAAUAUUGAUUAUUUCAUGAUAAUUGAUUGAAAGAUGCUAUUGCAUCACUACCAGAUGGACCUGCGUUGUAUUAGCUAGUAGGUGAGGUAACGGCUCACCUAGGCGACGAUACAUAGCCGACCUGAGAGGGUGAUCGGCCGCACUGGGACUGAGACACGGCCCAGACUCCUACGGGAGGCAGCAGUAGGGAAUCUUCGGCAAUGGACGAAAGUCUGACCGAGCAACGCCGCGUGAGUGAAGAAGGUUUUCGGAUCGUAAAGCUCUGUUGUAAGAGAAGAACGGGUGUGAGAGUGGAAAGUUCACACUGUGACGGUAUCUUACCAGAAAGGGACGGCUAACUACGUG